Unclassified non-coding RNA from Nomascus leucogenys (northern white-cheeked gibbon), 119 nucleotides. It matches the Rfam family "Y RNA". From Rfam's summary of the family: Y RNAs are components of the Ro ribonucleoprotein particle (Ro RNP), in association with Ro60 and La proteins. The record is from Ensembl. NCBI's taxonomy places the organism in Eukaryota, Metazoa, Chordata, Mammalia, Primates, Hylobatidae.
GGUUGGUCCACGGGUAGUGAGUUAUUUCAGUUGAUUUCAACUGAUUGUUCAGAAUCAGUUACAGAUCAAAUUCCUUGUUUUACUCUUUCCUUCUCACUACUACACUUGCCUAGCCUUUA